UAUGGCUUUUACAUUCCUGUGUGUAUAUUAAUGCAGUACACACAGUAUGUUGCCAUG
This 57-nucleotide microRNA precursor is filed under the name Ciona intestinalis (vase tunicate). RNAcentral's name for it is "microRNA cin-mir-132 precursor (cin-mir-132-2)". Its record names the gene cin-mir-132-2. The record is from miRBase by way of RNAcentral. Lineage: Eukaryota; Metazoa; Chordata; Ascidiacea; Phlebobranchia; Cionidae.